AGAGUUUGAUCCUGGCUCAGGAUGAACGCUAGCUACAGGCUUAACACAUGCAAGUCGCGGGGCAUCGGGGGUCAGCAAUGUCCUGCCGGCGACCGGCGCACGGGUGAGUAACGCGUAUCCGACCUGUCCCUUACUCCGGGAUAGCCCCCCGAAAGGGGGGUUAAUACGGGAUGUGCUGCCGGGGUUCCAUGGUUCCGGCAGUAAAGGAGCGAUCCGGUAAGGGUUGGGGAUGCGUCCCAUUAGGAAGUUGGCGGGGUAACGGCCCACCAAUCCAUCGAUGGGUAGGGGUACUGAGAGGUAGGUCCCCCACACUGGAACUGAGACACGGUCCAGACUCCUACGGGAGGCAGCAGUGAGGAAUAUUGGUCAAUGGGCGCAGGCCUGAACCAGCCAAGUAGCGUGGAGGAAGACGGCCCUACGGGUUGUAAACUCCUUUUCCGGGAGGGUAACGUGCGGCACGCGUGCCGUAUUGCAAGUAUCCCGGGAAUAAGCAUCGGCUAACUCCGUGCCAGCAGCCGCAGUAAUACGGAGGAUGCGAGCGUUAUCCGGAUUUAUUGGGUUUAAAGGGAGCGUAGGCGGGCUGGUAAGUCAGCGGUCAAAUCGUGCGGCUCAACCGUGCGUCGCCGUUGAUACUGCCGGUCUUGAGUGCACAAGAGGUGGAUGGAAUUCAUGGUGUAGCGGUGAAAUGCUUAGAUAUCAUGAAGAACUCCGAUUGCGAAGGCAGUCCACUGGGGUGCUACUGACGCUGAAGCUCGAAGGUGCGGGUAUCAAACAGGAUUAGAUACCCUGGUAGUCCGCACGGUAAACGAUGAAUACUCGCUGUCGGCGACAGACUGUCGGCGGCCAAGCGAAAGCGUUAAGUAUUCCACCUGGGGAGUACGCCGGCAACGGUGAAACUCAAAGGAAUUGACGGGGGCCCGCACAAGCGGAGGAACAUGUGGUUUAAUUCGAUGAUACGCGAGGAACCUUACCCGGGCUUGAACUGCGCAGGACUGUGGCAGAGAUGCCAUUUCCCUUCGGGGCCUGCGUGGAGGUGCUGCAUGGUUGUCGUCAGCUCGUGCCGUGAGGUGUCGGCUUAAGUGCCAUAACGAGCGCAACCCUUGCCUUCAGUUGCCAUCACCUUUCGGGUGGGCACUCUGGAGGGACUGCCAUCGUAAGAUGCGAGGAAGGUGGGGAUGACGUCAAAUCAGCACGGCCCUUACGUCCGGGGCUACACACGUGUUACAAUGGGGAGUACAGAGGGCAGCCACCCGGCGACGGGGCGCCAAUCCGCUAAAUCUCCUCUCAGUUCGGACUGGAGUCUGCAACCCGACUCCACGAAGCUGGAUUCGCUAGUAAUCGCGCAUCAGCCAUGGCGCGGUGAAUACGUUCCCGGGCCUUGUACACACCGCCCGUCAAGCCAUGAAAGCCGGGGGCACCUGAAGUCCGUAACCGCGAGGAUCGGCCUAGGGUGAAACUGGUGAUUGGGGCUAAGUCGUAACAAGGUA
This 1487-nucleotide ribosomal RNA is filed under the name uncultured bacterium. Its description in RNAcentral is "bacterial SSU rRNA". It matches the Rfam family "Bacterial small subunit ribosomal RNA". The record is from RNAcentral.